Molecule: unclassified non-coding RNA, 432 nt
Filed under: soil metagenome
Description: partial contains 5.8S ribosomal RNA, internal transcribed spacer 2, and large subunit ribosomal RNA
Rfam family: 5.8S ribosomal RNA (bases 1-120)
Source: RNAcentral
GAUGAAGAACGCAGCGAAAUGCGAUACGUAAUGUGAAUUGCAGAAUUCAGUGAAUCAUCGAAUCUUUGAACGCAUAUUGCGCUCUCUGGUAUUCCGGAGAGCAUGCUUGUUUGAGUAUCAGUAAACACCUCAACUUCCAUAUCUUUUUUGAAAUGGGAGUUGGACUUGAGUGAUCCCAACGCUUUUCCUCACCGAAAAGUGGCGGGUUACUUGAAAUGCAGGUGCAGCUGGACUUUUCUCUGAGCUAUAAGCAUAUCUAUUUAGUCUGCCUAAAAAACAGAUUAUUACCUUUGCUGCAGCUAACAUAAAGGAGAUUAGUUCUUGUGCUGACUGAUGCAGGAUUCACAAAGACGGCUUCGGCCGACUUUGUAAACUCGAUCUCCAAUCAAGUAAGACUACCCGCUGAACUUAAGAAUAUCAAUAAGCGGAGGA